This 100-nucleotide ribosomal RNA is filed under the name uncultured marine bacterium. RNAcentral describes it as "partial small subunit ribosomal RNA". It matches the Rfam family "Bacterial small subunit ribosomal RNA", at positions 957 to 1054 of the family's 1533-position model. The record is from RNAcentral.
CAACGCGAAAAACCUUACCAGGUCUUGACAUCCCUUGACAACCCUAGAGAUAGGGCGUCCCCCUUUCGGGGACAGGGUGACAGGUGCUGCAUGGCCGUCG